GACGAACGCUGGCGGCGUGCCUAAUACAUGCAAGUAGAACGCUGAAGGAGGAGCUUGCUCUUCUGGAUGAGUUGCGAACGGGUGAGUAACGCGUAGGUAACCUGCCUGGUAGCGGGGGAUAACUAUUGGAAACGAUAGCUAAUACCGCAUAACAGUAGAUGUUGCAUGACAUUUGCUUAAAAGGUGCAAUUGCACCACUACCAGAUGGACCUGCGUUGUAUUAGCUAGUUGGUGGGGUAACGGCUCACCAAGGCGACGAUACAUAGCCGACCUGAGAGGGGGAUCAGCCACACUGGGACUGAGACACGGCCCAGACUCCUACGGGAGGCAGCAGUAGGGAAUCUUCGGCAAUGGACGGAAGUCUGACCGAGCAACGCCGCGUGAGUGAAGAAGGUUUUCGGAUCGUAAAGCUCUGUUGUAAGAGAAGAACGAGUGUGAGAGUGGAAAGUUCACACUGUGACGGUAUCUUACCAGAAAGGGACGGCUAACUACGUG
Molecule: ribosomal RNA, 495 nt
Filed under: uncultured bacterium
Lineage: Bacteria
Description: partial 16S ribosomal RNA
Rfam family: Bacterial small subunit ribosomal RNA
Source: RNAcentral